GAAACAUCUCCCACUCCAGCUCCAGUUUCUUAUUUUUCUUUUCAAUGGAAGAUUAUGGAGCCCAUUGUCUCUGUCUCUGUAAUGUGUUCUUUGGGCCAAGCCAGAUUGUAUCCCUUGUCUGAAAAAGGUCAUAAACUUGAGUACUUGACCCAUGCAAAGCUCUAGAUUUUGCAGUGCUUUGCUUCUAUUCGCAGUAAGGUUUUGCCACUGAAAAUUUCCGUGCUCAGAUAGUCGGAUGCCAAGUGCGGCCAUUAUGGAGCCCAUAAAAAGGAGUUCCAGUAUAUCAUUACCAUAGCAUCUCCACUCUGGCAAGACAGUUCAUGUGUGCAAUUCCUCCCAUUCUCCAAUUUUCAUAGACCACUCUUGAAAUUUAUGCAGUUCCGUGGGCACAUCUGUUUCAGAGCCAUUAGAGCAGAAUUGGCACAAGGUAAUCAAUCAAUAGGUCCCUUUCGUUUGGUUUCUGUGAAAUAUUCUUCCAGUGAUCGAUCACAUCUCAUGAUGAAGUUCUUAAACUUUCAUUCUGUCAGUCCCUAUAUAUACAUACAUCAUGAUGAUGGUUAAACUUCAAUUUGGAGUAAUAAUACUUAUGUUACGUUACCUCAAUAGGCUUUUUUUCAUCGGAGUGGAGGAAGAAUGCGUAGAACCCUCCAAGCACAGUUGCUGCGGCCAUGGCCCAAACCAGCACCUGAACCGGGAAAGGCAUGAUGGCCGCCACUUUAUAUGAAAACACGGCGGUGAGCAUCGUCGUCAGGAGCC
This 756-nucleotide long non-coding RNA is filed under the name Oryza sativa (Asian cultivated rice). Its description in RNAcentral is "long non-coding RNA (OSAT_LNC000299)". Lineage: Eukaryota; Viridiplantae; Streptophyta; Magnoliopsida; Poales; Poaceae. The record is from RNAcentral.